Molecule: ribosomal RNA, 249 nt
Filed under: uncultured bacterium
Lineage: Bacteria
Description: partial small subunit ribosomal RNA
Rfam family: Bacterial small subunit ribosomal RNA
Source: RNAcentral
AGGACGAACGCUGGCGGCGUGCUUAACACAUGCAAGUCGAACGAGGCGCUUGCGCCUAGUGGCGAACGGGUGAGUAACACGUGAGCAACCUGCCCUUGGCUCUGGGAUAGCCUCCGGAAACGGGGAUUAAUACCGGACAUGACCUUCUCCUGCAUGGGGGAGGGUGGAAAGUUUUUUCGGCCAGGGAGGGGCUCGCGGCCUAUCAGCUUGUUGGGGGGUAACGGCCCACCAAGGCGACGACGGGUAGCC